CUCCCAGACUCCUACGGGAGGCAGCAGUGAGGAAUAUUGGUCAAUGGGCGGGAGCCUGAACCAGCCAAGUCGCGUGAGGGAUGACGGCCCUACGGGUUGUAAACCUCUUUUGUCGGGGAGCAAAUUCCGUUACGUGUAACGGAGUCGAGAGUACCCGUAGAACAAGCAUCGGCUAACUCCGUGCCAGCAGCCGCGGUAAUACGGAGGAUGCGAGCGUUAUCCGGAUUUAUUGGGUUUAAAGGGUGCGCAGGCGGCACGGCAAGCCGGCGGUCAAAUCGCGGGGCUCAACCCCGCCCAGCCGUCGGAACUGCCGGGCUAGAGUGGGCGAGAAGUGCGCGGAAUGCGUGGUGUAGCGGUGAAAUGCGUAGAUAUCACGCAGAACCCCGAUUGCGAAGGCAGCCUUCCGGCGCCCUACUGACGCUGAGGCACGAAAGUGCGGGGAUCGAACAGGAUUAGAUACCCUUGUA
Molecule: ribosomal RNA, 467 nt
Filed under: uncultured bacterium
Lineage: Bacteria
Description: bacterial SSU rRNA
Rfam family: Bacterial small subunit ribosomal RNA
Source: RNAcentral